Triticum urartu is the source of this 4164-nucleotide long non-coding RNA. RefSeq lists it as uncharacterized. The record is from RefSeq and is a predicted model, not a curated record. NCBI's taxonomy places the organism in Eukaryota, Viridiplantae, Streptophyta, Magnoliopsida, Poales, Poaceae.
CGACCUAUCGCCCACGCCCGCACGACCUCUCGACCAUGCUCCUCCUCCCAACGGAUGCCACAACACGGGUGGGCUGUCGCAUGCCGAUUCCUCCCGCCGCCUUCCGCGCCGUUUGCCGCCCCCGGUCCGGCGGUCCUCUUCUGCUUCCCGGCGGCCAAAUGCGAGCGCCCCUGCUGGUCCUCCUCUGCUGCCCCAAGAACACGGGAGGUCCUCCUCUGCUGCUGCAGACGGACAGGAUCACAAGGCAGACGGCGGGCCUCCCUCGGAGUGACAAAAAUCCAAGCCUGGCGCCGGCCGCAUAUAAAAAUGCCUGACGCCGGUGCCUCCCUCUUCUGCCACCACCGGGAUCUCCCUCCCCACCAAACCCACGCACGUCCCCUGAAUCCAUCCAAUGGCGGCCGCCUCGCUCAAGCUCUGCUCCCCCAAACCCCUCGCCCCUCCUCUGCCGCCCCAGCACUGCGCGGCCCAUCGGCCCCGCCCGGUGCCUCCCUCCGGCCCACAGGCCGCAAUGCCUCCCGCAUCCCCUCUAUCUGUUCCGUCCGGUGAUUGACUGACCGGGUUUCCUUUCAAUCUCCUGUCUUGUGGCCGCGACGAUGCCAGGUGCUGGAGCAGCUGAUCGACGGGGCCGACUUCUCGGAGGACAAGGUGGAGGCGACGCUGCAGCUGCCGCUCAACAAGAAGAACGGGGCGCAGCAGAUCGCCGCCUUCCUCGUGCUGCUCCGGGCCAAGGGCGAGACCUACGAAGAGAUCGUCGGGCUGGCUAAGGCCAUGAUGAGAAACUGCGUCCGUGUCGAGGGCCUGCACGACGCCGUCGACAUUGUCGGUACCGGCAGUGAUGGCAUAGGCACCGUCAACAUCUCCACCGGCUCCACCAUCCUCGCCGCCGGUUUAGAAAAUUUCCACUCAUCAGCAUUUGCAGCAUCUGAGGUAUUUUUGUCACAUUUUCAUAUUUACUUCAACACUUGAGAGUUUACAUGUAUCAAGUUUCUUCAAUUGUUCACGGACUACAGGAUGUAGUUUCUUUUUACCUAAUUUUACAAUAUGUAAUCUGUUUCCAUUGUUGUGUAUUACAUUAUGUAUCUUUGUUAUGCGUUUGUAUAUUUUCUGCCUAUUGUGGAUCCAAAUUUUACAAGGAAUCCUGUGUGAUGCUGAAUUUAUUCAAGUGCUGCAAAAUGUGAGAUUGUUGCAGGGCAUGGAUGAUAUUUUUUAUGAGGAAAACAAGCCAGGUGCUUUAUUUGUUUGUCUGAUAUGUAUAAGUACAUGUUUAUUAUAUUUUUACCACUAAUGAUUUUGAUGACUUGAGCAAAGAGUUUGCGUCAUUGGUACUUCAGCAACAAAGUUACAAAUGAUGAGUCUUACAGUAGUGUAGGAACAACUUUGAGGUACAAGCUGUACACAUAGGUCUGCCAAAACAGUAUCACUGUUGCAUGUAUGCGUUGAUUACCACAUGAUAGUUACCUUGCUCUAAUGCUAGCUGGUGUUCUAGAGCUAUACAUCUAUAGGCACUCUAACUUAUUUAUAUAAUUUCCGUCUGCUUAUAAUCUAUAUUAUGUUUGGCUUGCUACUCUGAUCUGGAGUGAUGUUUGUUUGUUCGUUUCUAGGCAAACAGAUAGAUGACAGUCUAUCAAGUAUCUUACUAUUCAUACAUUGUGACUAAUAUUUUAACUUUUUUUGGCUGAAAUUCUCAGAGGUGUAGCAUGCAAAUCUUAAUAAAAUGGAUUGGUAUUUCAGAGUUGAUCUGUGAAUUAGAUUGUUACUUGGGUCAAUUGAUGGUUUCUAGCUCAUAACUGUAGCUAGAGUGACUAUACCCGCAUGCAAUGUCGGAAGCAGAUGGGUCUCCCAACAAGGGAUUAAAUGCAAAAUCAAUAAAUGCUCAAAUAAAUAAUGUCAGAAGCACACUUAGUUGGUAAUUUGUUGAUGAGCUGUGGGAUCACACAAAGUGUGAUAGAGGUGUACGCAGAGUCACAGACAUGGGUCAGCCUAUGGAGUUCUUGUGUCACAUAUCUGUUCUAAAAUAGUAAUUUGAGCUAAAUUCUGUUUUAUCAAUUUUGACUUCCGAGAAUUCUGAAGCCCGCAAUCAGUCUGUUACUUAAUUUGUAUAGUUGGCAUUUUUUAAUGGGGUUGUUGUUUGGUUUCUUUAAACAACUACUCUGAACUGAAGCAUGCAUUUCAAAAGAUUGUUACAGUAAUGAUUUUCUCACUACAAAUGUGCUAUCUCCUAGCUUUGCCACUUUGGAGACAUUUCAUGAAACCGGGCUGUAAUGACCUACUGAAAUCGGAGAGGUUUUCAGAAGACUUGCUGAUGCAUGAUGACAUUGCUAAUUGCUAUAGUAGUCACGCAGAUGCAGCUUGGUGUAUUUUUUUUCCUUCUUUCCCUUUAUAUCUUCUUCAUCCUUGUGCUUGGACAUUUGUAACUCAAGAGGUCACAAACUUCUGCAAUCUGGAGGUGUCAUGUUCAGACUGGUACAUAUGCAUGUAGCUUUUCAUGAAGCAUCAUUUUACUGAAGUGUCAAAUGUAUGUUCUCUUAUAAUCCAGGGGCCUGAUUCCAAAGCUGCGUAUGAGCUUAUUGACAUCGAUGGUGUGGUAAAUGUGACCAUAAGGAACUUGGAACAGGCGUACGUCUCUUAAUGGACAUCUUUCUGUUUUGCAUUGAACUUUGAUUUUAAUUGUUUUUGUGUACAUCUUCUAAAAUUCCAGGAUUGGCUUCUUACUCAUUACAAAUGAUUCCAGUCUUUAUUCUUAGUUUUUAUAGUUACAAAAAUAACAAUGUUCAAACUCACUGACCUGUGCUUUCUGACAUGUCUUAACUGUAUUGUUCAUUAUAUAUGCAUGUAGCGAUACUUCCUUUCAAUCUCUUCAUUAGUUAGUAACCUAGAUCAUGUGCCAAGUUUUACUUACUCGACACUCGCUACUCUUUUCCUUGUACAAUUGUUCAGUCCUGGUUAUAUUUUGUGGUCUUUCUGAGUUGCAUAAAUAACUUGAAAAAUCUGGAGCUACUAAACCUUACCUGUACUGAUUUUUUUUCUGUUUUUCUUUAUCAAAAUAUGGUUCUCCUUCAAAGUAUUUUUUUGUUCUACUGAAUGUGCUUCUAAAAAAGGAUCUCAACAGAUCAUCUGGAAGGAGAAGAGAAUAGCCAAAGAGAUGUUAAGAACACCAAUAUGCUUUUGAUGAUUGAAUUAGAUAAAACAAGUAUAUACUUCUAAAGGUUAAUGGAUUCUAAUAGUAUGAUUUUGACAUGCAAAUAAGUUUUCCAUAUGUCUGACUAUAUUGUGUUGCCGUGCAAAUAUAUAGAUGAAUGAUCUCACUUUUGGGGACUUGGUUUUGUGAAUCGAUGUGUUAUCUUGAGCAAAUAUCUAACUAUUUGUACAAUGUUACAAUAUGUACUUUUACUAUUGAUAUAUCAUACUGUAUGUAGAAUCUUUCAAUACAUAUAUACUUGCGACAACUACUAACCGAAAUUCAUUUUUCACCUACAAAAAUAUAUAGAAUCUUCCUCCAGGUUUUCAUGUUGAUACCUGAUUUACAUGUCCAUACUGUUGGGCUGUUCGAGCUAACACUGCAAGGCCUUACAGUGCCUCAGGGGCAUCUAAUAGUUUGCCCCUAGAACUAUUAUAUUCAGACAAUAUACUUGCUUGUGUAACCAUCAGAGCUGAAUCUUCUAGGUAAUUUUACAUAAUCACCGGCUGGGUGCCCACAAUCAUCCCUGAUUUGUAUUGAAGUGAGAUAAGGUUUACUCAUGUUCUUAUAUUUUAUAUCUCUUUUCUGUUCUGCUUGGUUGAUUUUCUCCUUCAUGUUGUUCAUUUGAUUAAAAGAAUCGGGAGAAGGGAAGGAAAGAGAGAGAAGCAUAAUCUUGGGAGUAAGAGAGAUGCUGACAGGUAGUUCCCAUCUUUUAUUCAUUUCAUCUUGCGUUUGGAUAUGAAGCGGUGGCAUAGUUGCCAUGAUAGUCAUUUUUCUGCCAUCAAUUGGAAGAUGUGAAGAGUGGUACAAGGUAUGUCUUGUUAUAUAGAAGAGUUAGAGCUGGAUGGAGUAUCAAACAAUGUAAUCGAAUAAUGCAUGGAAUUGUAAGCCAAUCAUAUAAGCAUAGACAUAUUUCCAGUUUUCCGAUGUAUAGUGGAAGUUACUUAAAUCAUUUGAAAUAUUAAUAUAAAGAAUCUUUUUAUUGA